CUGGGCUCCAGCUUGUGAUCCUACCGCCUUAACCUCCAAAGUAGCUGGGACUGCCAGUAUAGGCCCCAUGUCCAGCUAGAGCUAUGGAUUUCUAAGGCAGGUUUGGGGUACCAGCUCUUCUACACUGGAUUUAAAAUUUCAUACAUUUCCUUAGCAAAAACAGAAAUCCUUCAGUUCCGAGGUCAGCGAUGUUGCCUGCCUCACCCACAGGCUCAGUGGGGAUGCCCUCCACCCGGGCCAGCGCUGCUAGGACAAAGGUGACGAAGCCGGAUUGAUCAGAUUGUACAGCAUUUCCGGUCAGAGGCGGGAUAGGACAGUGGUGAUGGCUUCCCUUCUAUCUUCCAGACACCAGCGGGGCCAGCACUGGUUGUCAGGAUGCUGAUCAGCUGUUUUGUCAGGCACAGGUGUAUUUCUCGGGCAGGUGUGUGUGCGUGCGUACAUGGACACGAGCGAGGCGGAGACAGGAGAACCUGGCACGAGACUGUGUGCCGGCCUGGUAAGAUGUCCUCCCGCUAACUCAAAGGCACGGGCUGCCACCAGUGCAGACGCUCUUGGGAAACGACCUAACCUUUCUUUGGGAGAAGAAGGACAGUUUGCUUCUAGUUUAAGACUUCUUUCUGAGUACCAGACAGGUUUGCUCUUCCCAUCGGUUGCCAUGAAAUGCCAUUAACCUUUAAAAGGCUGCCGGAGCUUCCCCAGCUGGAGAGUUCACGGGAAGACAAAGCUCCCAUCUGUGCGUGGUGGCGGCGGCGGUGGGCCAGGGACAGGGAGGCAGCGCUGCCCUCCGCAUCAGAAGCCAGGCCCUGGUCCACUGGGCAGCAGUGUGGCCACCUGGAGUCAUCCACACUUGGGGCAGGGCUGGGCGUCUCGGGGAAACCUCCAGAUGUGUAGCCAAGACUCUGUUUUCCUCAAGGCCUGGUGAAACAUAAAAUUGCUUGUGAAAAAAAAACACAAGCUGUAAGCAAAGGUUAUGCUGCUGACUGAAGCAGCGGUCAUUCAGAUCUCCAAACGCCCGAAGUAAGAUGCAAGAAUAAAGACGAGCUCACACCACACGAGUUGCUGCUAAGUGACCCAUUCGGUUGCGGUCUGGGCACACACUCUGUUAUUCCGCUGCCGGGCCAGCGUCGGGGUCGUACACAUCAUCACUCGCCUGACAGGUGAUCAGGGCUGUUAUCCAGGCCUGGCGAUGCAGGGCUGCCCACGAAUUGCGACUAAUAAGGCUUUGAUGACACAUUCUGUCAUGGAGUCCGUGGGAAAGGAGGCCCUCCAACAUGCCGCAAGGACAGAGGAGACAACUCAUUUUGAGGGCAAUUUUGUCAACAUGACAAAUGGCAGUUUAUUUACUCUUGACCCGGUUAUCCUACUUCUGAGAAUUUACCCUGGAGAUAUACAGUAGGGAAUGACACUCACACGAGGUGAUUCCCUGCUACACUGACUGUGAUAGUGAGUGUUUCAUACACAGGGGUUCGUGUACAGGGGGAUGAAUGAACAGACGACAGGAAGCCAUCAGAGAGGGAAAUACAGGUGCUGUCCAUGUGUAAGGGGACUCCAGCUGAACAGCCUACCAUCAGAUGAAAAUAUCCUAAGGGAAAAAUGCCUGGACUCCACCUAAGCUAGAGUCACACAGCUCAGCGACACAGCACCCUGUGACAACGUGCUUCCCUGGUGAUCCUGUGACGGCCUGGAGCCUCAGCUCUUACCAGCUUCAGAGGAGAGGACUGGACCACAGAUCACCCGCUUGGGAACAGGGCGACAUUCGAAGUUCAGUCACAGUUCCCACCGAAUGCAUAUUGCCUGUGUCUCCAGGCAAACUCCAGAAAUCUGAAGUCAAACCCUUAAAUCAGGGCCAUCCGGGUUCUGCAGCCGGGAAACGGAGGGGCCGGCUCCGUGCUGAAACGGAGAGGGUUCCAUGGGGCGAACACCAGGAAGCAGAAGGAGUAAGAACGCUGUUAGUGUUUGUGUAAAGUACUACAGAGGCGCACAAGAAAUCAAAGCAGUGACCGGGAGGGGGAGCAGUGCAGAGCCAGCGAAAGGGGGUGGAAAGGACGGUGGGGAACGAUUCCCCAAGGAGUACUUGUAAAUGUCAGCCUAGCCCGGUAUUAGUGAUCCGUUACCCUAACAACGGCAACAACAGAGAUGGUUCCGUCUCCCCACGAGUCCGAAGCUCUAAAAUAUCAGUAGAGUACAGACCAGAGAUUCCACCUGACAGCCCGAGGCAUGGAGCUGGUCAGCCGCACAGUGGGUGCUGUCAGGGCCACGAGCCAGGGGGCCAGAACCCAGGCCGAGGAUACCUCAGAGCCUGAGCAAGAACCCUCAAAGUACUUUCCUUCAGGUUUUAUCUCUCGUUGCUCUGCAAGUGAUCACAAUAGAAAUUUCAGAGAUGAACCGACCUUUUCCUUCAUAGUUUUCUCAACAUAUCCUCGUAUUCCUCCAGCAUGGGAGAAAUAGCAAGAACCUUCUCAAAUCACCAGAAGACCUAGAUAGGCCAAGCAUCCUCAUCUACAAUGUUCCAAAGUCUGAAACUGAGCGCUGAUAGACGGCCAAGUGUGAAAAAUCCCAGAAUGUGAAACUGUUUCAUGCACAAAAUUGUGAUAAAUAUUACAUAGAGUGACAUUCAUGUUAUAUAUAAAGUGUGUAUGAACUUAAGUCUCAGCUCUACAGUAUCUCGUUAUAUUUAAAUGCAGACAUUCAAAAAAUGAAAUCAGAAACACUUCUGGACCCAAGAAUUUUGGAUAAGAGUCAUUCAUCCUGUACU
Chinchilla lanigera (long-tailed chinchilla) is the source of this 2755-nucleotide long non-coding RNA. RefSeq lists it as uncharacterized. The transcript has 3 exons. The record is from RefSeq and is a predicted model, not a curated record. NCBI's taxonomy places the organism in Eukaryota, Metazoa, Chordata, Mammalia, Rodentia, Chinchillidae.